UACGGAGGGUGCAAGCGUUAUCCGGAUUCACUGGGUUUAAAGGGUGCGUAGGUGGGCAGGUAAGUCAGUGGUGAAAUCUUUGGGCUUAACCCGAAAACUGCCAUUGAUACUAUUUGUCUUGAAUAUUGUGGAGGUCAGCGGAAUAUGUCAUGUAGCGGUGAAAUGCUUAGAUAUGACAUAGAACACCAAUUGCGAAGGCAGCUGGCUACGCAUAUAUUGACACUGAUGCACGAAAGCGUGGGGAUCAAACAGG
RNAcentral lists this ribosomal RNA (253 nucleotides) under uncultured bacterium. RNAcentral's name for it is "partial 16S ribosomal RNA". It matches the Rfam family "Bacterial small subunit ribosomal RNA", at positions 524 to 776 of the family's 1533-position model. The record is from RNAcentral.